CUGAUUGGCUGCAUCCCAACGGCCCAG
This 27-nucleotide non-coding RNA is filed under the name Drosophila erecta. The record is from RNAcentral. Lineage: Eukaryota; Metazoa; Arthropoda; Insecta; Diptera; Drosophilidae. RNAcentral also lists the same sequence under 1 other name.